UUGGAGGGCAAGUCUGGUGCCAGCAGCCGCGGUAAUUCCAGCUCCAAUAGCGUAUAUUAAAGUUGUUGCAGUUAAAAAGCUCGUAGUUGAAUUUCGAGACCGGUCUACUGGUCGUGCUUUUGUACGUACUGGUAUAAUCGGUUUCUCUCUUCUGACGAACUAUAAUGCCAUUAAUUUGGUGUUUUAGGGAAUCAGGACUGUUACUUUGAAAAAAUUAGAGUGUUUAAAGCAGGCUCACGCUUGAAUACAUUAGCAUGGAAUAACGAAAUAGGACGUUUGAUUCUAUUUUGUUGGUUUCUAGGAUCGACGUAAUGAUUAAUAGGGAUAGUUGGGGGCAUUAGUAUUCAAUUGUCAGAGGUGAAAUUCUUGGAUUUAUUGAAGACUAACUACUGCGAAAGCAUUUGCCAAGGAUGUUUUCAUUAAUCAAGAACGAAAGUUAGGGGAUCGAAGACGAUCAGAUACCGUCGUAGUCUUAACCAUAAACUAUGCCGACUAGGGAUCAGAUGAUGUUAAAUUAAUGACUCAUUCGGCACCUUACGGGAAACCAAAGUGUUUGGGUUC
RNAcentral lists this ribosomal RNA (561 nucleotides) under uncultured Glomus. Its description in RNAcentral is "SSU rRNA". It matches the Rfam family "Eukaryotic small subunit ribosomal RNA", at positions 548 to 1114 of the family's 1831-position model. The record is from RNAcentral. Lineage: Eukaryota; Fungi; Glomeromycota; Glomeromycetes; Glomerales; Glomeraceae.